RNAcentral lists this ribosomal RNA (760 nucleotides) under uncultured bacterium. RNAcentral describes it as "bacterial SSU rRNA". It matches the Rfam family "Bacterial small subunit ribosomal RNA", at positions 28 to 776 of the family's 1533-position model. The record is from RNAcentral.
GAUGAACGCUAGCUACAGGCUUAACACAUGCAAGUCGAGGGGCAGCGGGAUUGAAGCUUGCUUCAAUUGCCGGCGACCGGCGCACGGGUGAGUAACGCGUAUCCAACCUUCCGCUUACUCGGAGAUAGCCUUUCGAAAGAAAGAUUAAUACCCGAUGGUAUCUUAAGCACGCAUGAGAUUAAGAUUAAAGAUUUAUCGGUAAGCGAUGGGGAUGCGUUCCAUUAGGCAGUUGGCGGGGUAACGGCCCACCAAACCUACGAUGGAUAGGGGUUCUGAGAGGAAGGUCCCCCACAUUGGAACUGAGACACGGUCCAAACUCCUACGGGAGGCAGCAGUGAGGAAUAUUGGUCAAUGGGCGAGAGCCUGAACCAGCCAAGUAGCGUGAAGGAUGACGGCCCUACGGGUUGUAAACUUCUUUUGUGCGGGAAUAAAGGAACCUACGUGUAGGUUUUUGCAUGUACCGUAACGAAUAAGCAUCGGCUAACUCCGUGCCAGCAGCCGCGGUAAUACGGAGGAUGCGAGCGUUAUCCGGAUUUAUUGGGUUUAAAGGGAGCGUAGACGGGUUUUUAAGUCAGCUGUGAAAGUUUGGGGCUCAACCUUAAAAUAGCAGUUGAAACUGGAGACCUUGAGUACGGUUGAGGCAGGCGGAAUUCGUGGUGUAGCGGUGAAAUGCUUAGAUAUCACGAAGAACCCCGAUUGCGAAGGCAGCCUGCUAAGCCGCCACUGACGUUGAGGCUCGAAAGUGCGGGUAUCAAACAGG